This 274-nucleotide ribosomal RNA is filed under the name uncultured bacterium. RNAcentral's name for it is "partial 16S ribosomal RNA". It matches the Rfam family "Bacterial small subunit ribosomal RNA", at positions 523 to 796 of the family's 1533-position model. The record is from RNAcentral.
AUACGGAGGGGGUUAGCGUUGUUCGGAAUCACUGGGCGUAAAGCGCGCGCAGGCGGCUAUUUAAGUUGGAUGUGAAAGCCUACGGCUCAACCGUAGAACUGCAUCCAAAACUAUUUAGCUAGAGUGUGGGAGAGGAAGAUGGAAUUAGUUGUGUAGGGGUAAAAUCCGUAGAGAUAACUAGGAAUACCAAAAGCGAAGGCAAUCUUCUGGAACACUACUGACGCUGAGGCGCGAAAGCGUGGGGAGCAAACAGGAUUAGAAACCCUAGUAGUCC